CCUCUUCCCAUUCCGAACAGAGAAGUUAAGCCCAACCACGUCGAUGGUACUGCGUAAAAGUGGGAGAGUAGAUAGCCGCCGUUU
Molecule: ribosomal RNA, 84 nt
Filed under: Parabacteroides merdae
Lineage: Bacteria; Pseudomonadati; Bacteroidota; Bacteroidia; Bacteroidales; Tannerellaceae
Also listed under: 1 other name
Source: RNAcentral